Molecule: ribosomal RNA, 530 nt
Filed under: uncultured bacterium
Lineage: Bacteria
Description: bacterial SSU rRNA
Rfam family: Bacterial small subunit ribosomal RNA
Source: RNAcentral
UUGACAUCCAGCGAACUUUCCCAGAGGAUGGAUUGGUGCCUUCGGGAACGCUGAGACAGGUGCUGCAUGGCUGUCGUCAGCUCGUGUUGUGAAAUGUUGGGUUAAGUCCCGNAACAAGCGCAACCCUUAUCCUUUGUUGCCAGCGAUUCGGUCGGGAACUCAAAGGAGACUGCCGGUGAUAAACCGGAGGAAGGUGGGGAUGACGUCAAGUCAUCAUGGCCCUUACGAGUAGGGCUACACACGUGCUACAAUGGCGCAUACAAAGAGAAGCGACCUCGCGAGAGCAAGCGGACCUCAUAAAGUGCGUCGUAGUCCGGAUCGGAGUCUGCAACUCGACUCCGUGAAGUCGGAAUCGCUAGUAAUCGUGGAUCAGAAUGCCACGGUGAAUACGUUCCCGGGCCUUGUACACACCGCCCGUCACACCAUGGGAGUGGGUUGCAAAAGAAGUAGGUAGCUUAACCUCCGGGAGGGCGCUUACCACUUUGUGAUUCAUGACUGGGGUGAAGUCGUAACAAGGUAAGCGUAGCGAG